CAGCCAUGUAAGAUGUGCCUGGUUCUCCUUCACCUUCCGCCAUGAUUGAAAGUUUCCUAAGGCCUCCCCAACCUGUACAGCCUGCAGAACUAUAAGCGCAUGAGCACAUGAUUUGGUUUUGUUAGUUUAAAAGAGGAUUGACUUUGAAGUUCAGGCUCGAUGCUCCUGAAAAUUGAUGAAUUAGGUCUCGGAUUUCACCAUGUCCAACAAGCCUUCCCUGACCUUUCUUCCAAACUGAUUUUCUGCUGUAUGGCAGUAGCCCCAUCUUUCCGUUUUUUAAGACUAUGCAUAGACAUCAUCGCCCUUGCUACUCUGAACUAUAAUUGGCUCCUCACUGUUUCUCAUGCAAUUGGGAACACAUUCCUCGUGGGUAUGUACCAGGUUUCAAGACCUGUGGUGUAUCCUGAACCUAGCACAUGGAGCUGCUUGAUCAAUACAGUUGAAUGAAAUGAAGGAAUGAAUAUAAGAAAAAGUUUUUCUAAAUAAGAUGAUAGGGCAGGAUUCAUUUUUGUCUUUGUAGUUCUCAGCUUUCUCCUAUGUUCAGUCAAGUAUUCCAUCUUGAAAUAGCUGAAUUUAAUUAAACUAACAACUCCAUGUAAGAUCUUAGCAGGAUAACAAAAAUCAUGGUUUGAGGGCAAAACCUUAAAUUCAAAGGUGAAUGAAGCUUUGAUGAUGGUUAGGAUACAUCUGCCUUUAAAAAUUGGGUUACCUGCUCUGUCUGGUAAAUUUGAGGCAGACAUAACUGUUCUUCUUCUGUACCAACAUCCCCAAACACCCUGACCUGUUAAAAAAAAAAAAAAAGUGAAGUUUCUCAUUUGCAGCAGGGACUAGAGCACAGGAAUGCAAGAGGAAUAGAAAUGGGAAGUCUGGAAAAGGCAAAAUCUCCUUUGAAGAAUGUCCAGAUCUCCUUCCCAGACCCACUGCUGACCUGGGAUAAGUUCCCAAUCAUUCCCUGAAAUUAAAAAAUGUAGUCUUCUUGUUCCUUAAAGAGAGAUGCUCCUUCUCCAACCCUGAAGAUGUGACACAGGACCAAAGUUAUUUUCCUACCUGACGUAGAAGCCUGAGGCCUGGCAGAGCCUGCUUCUGUGCCUCUGAGAGUCCAGUUCCUCUGAAUCUGACUCAGAAAGCAGCCUUAUUUUAACUAGCCAGGCCAGCCUAUCCUCUCACUUUCUCCCUACCUAAUAGAACCCUGUCUGGGGAAGGAGUAGCCAUAUAUCUAUCUGAUGUGUGAAAAUAAUGAAACAAAGAAAAAUCCUCUAAAUUUCCCAAACUCCUUUGCAGAUAGAAGUAGCCAAGUUUUGGCUGGUGAAAUAGAAGUGGAAGUUGUUGAGAGGAACUUCCUAGAGAAGCUCCUUAAAAAGGGGUUGACUCCCAUGGCAUACUGUUUUGUCCACUGCUCUUCUCAUUCUUCUUGUCUGGAGCUUGAACAGGAUGGCUAGAACUCUGGCAGCCAUCUUGAGGCCACUAGACAACCUUUAAAGAUGACUGAACAGAAAUGUAAAAGGAGUCUAAGUCCCUGGUGAAUUGUGAGCUACCAUUCCCACCCUGGACCUCCCAUGUCCACAUUCUUCAUUACCUGAGAAAAAUAAGUUUCCUAAUUUGUUUAAACCUAUGUUUUGGGGGACCUCUUUUACUUGGAGCUUAACACAAUUCUUAACUGAUACAAAGGGCUUUAGUAAAAAACAUACUUAUAUUUAAAAUCUGCUUAGCUCUCAUAUUCAAUCUGUUCCUAUAGUCAUUAGAAAAAAAGUGUUGUGCAAAAGCCAAAAUUGACAAAUGGAUCUAAUUAAACUAAAGAGCUUCUGCACAGCAAAAGAAACUACCACCAGAGUGAACAGGCAGCCUACAGAAUGGGAG
This 1857-nucleotide long non-coding RNA is filed under the name Homo sapiens (human). RNAcentral describes it as "HSALNT0072413". Lineage: Eukaryota; Metazoa; Chordata; Mammalia; Primates; Hominidae. The record is from RNAcentral.